GUCUUCCUCCUUUUGAUAGGUACUAUCUCUUCCACAUAGUGAGUUGCUUCUAAAAUCUCUCCACCACAUCCCAAACUCAUGAAGAUCUAAACAGAGCUCCCAAUGGAAGGCCUAGAUAAUUGGUGAGGAGGGUCCCCACUCUACAUCUUAGAACUCUAGCUAGGUCCUCUACAUUAGCAACCCUCUAAGUGGUUUCAACUAAGUUUUCUCUAAAUUUGUUUUUAACUUGAGAUUACCUCAAACCACAUGAAUGUCCAAUUCAAGUACUCCAUAUGCUUCUUGUCAGUAUCACAUAGAAUAAGCGUAUCAUCAACAAAUAAUAGGUCUAACACCUCUAUAAACUCUCCACCUCUUCUUCUAACUGAAAACCUCACGAUAAAGCCUCCUUCCUUUUCCCGAUUUGGGAUAUAGGAGAAUGCCUCCAUGGCUAUAACGAAGAGAUAAGGGUAUCGGGUCACCCUGUCUCAAGCUUUUAGAACUCUAGAAACAUUCUUUUUGGGUCCCAUUAAUUAGUAUGGAGAAGCAAAUUAUAGAGAUAUACCACUUAAUCAAUCUUAUCCACUUAGAACCAAACCUCAUGUUUUAAGCCCAUUUGACAUGAUCAUACACCUUCUUGAUAUCCAGUUUACAUAUCACCCCACUCUUGAUGCUUUUAAGCCUUGAUUCAAUGGCUUCAAUUAUUAUGGGGAUUGGAUCUAAAAUUUGC
This 706-nucleotide long non-coding RNA is filed under the name Vitis vinifera (wine grape). RNAcentral's name for it is "long non-coding RNA (VVIN_LNC007992)". The record is from RNAcentral. Lineage: Eukaryota; Viridiplantae; Streptophyta; Magnoliopsida; Vitales; Vitaceae.